UGAUUUUGGUGGCCCUGCUCCUAGAAAUGCAUUUUUUUUCUGAGUUACAAUCUAAGAUCAAUAUCUAUAUCCUCCUCUUUGCAUCCAUGCUGGUUAUAAUUGCAAAGGCCUUGUUUGCUCACGUGAGUGAAGGGAGAAGACGGAAAUGGGUUUUCCCUACACUAAUGCAAUUCCAAAAGUUUGAGGUGGCUUGGAAGUGAAGGAGAUCAUGGAGCUUUUCAGUUCACAUGCUGGACAACAGAUUUAAAGAAAGCAUUGGUUGGAGAAAUGAUCUAAUGAUGAGGAUCGCCUUGGAAACUGUAU
Molecule: long non-coding RNA, 303 nt
Organism: Ipomoea nil (Japanese morning glory)
Lineage: Eukaryota; Viridiplantae; Streptophyta; Magnoliopsida; Solanales; Convolvulaceae
Exons: 4
Source: RefSeq, a predicted model, not a curated record